GGUGGGGACACACAGAAGCAUUUUGCCCAAGGAACCUACGAGUGCCUCCUGCCACCGAGCAAGGAGAUCUCACAGGAAAGAGGGUGGAGGAGCACGGUCAGAUGAGGAGGCCGUGAGGAGGCUGUUAGCAACCUCCAGAGGAGAGAAAUUGACCUAACCAUGGUUCUGAAGGAGAAGAGGGAUCACAAAGGAGACAGCAGCAAUGCCCCAUGAAGAAAAGGAACAGUCGUAACACCAGACACAGAGAGCGCCGGCACCAGGCAAUGCUGGGAUGGCCUGGUUCCUGCCAUGUAAAUCAAAGAAGAGAGGGUCUGAUUCAGCCGCCUAGCCCGAGUCACCUGGAACCCAUUAGGAUACAGCAUCAUAAACACCUCCAUUUUCCCUUCGGAGAGAGACCAGACCCACUGAAGUUAAGCUACCUGCAUACGAGUUGAGUGUGAUCAGCUGUACUUAAUCUUUAAAUGUCCAACCCACAGAUAACCUUUGGUUUGCUUUGAUAACUACGAAAUAAAUUCUCACUGCAUUGGA
This is a long non-coding RNA of Myotis davidii, 528 nucleotides long. RefSeq lists it as uncharacterized. NCBI's taxonomy places the organism in Eukaryota, Metazoa, Chordata, Mammalia, Chiroptera, Vespertilionidae. The transcript is spliced from 2 exons. The record is from RefSeq and is a predicted model, not a curated record.